UACGGAGGCUGCAAGCGUUAUCCGGAAUGAUUGGGCGUAAAGCGUCCGCAGGUGGCAAUGUAAGUCUGCUGUCAAAGCGUCUGGCUCAACCAGAUAAAGGCAGUGGAAACUACAUAGCUAGAGUAAGGUAGGGGUAGAGGGAAUUCCUGGUGUAGCGGUGAAAUGCGUAGAGAUCAGGAAGAACACCGGUGGCGAAAGCGCUCUGCUGGACCUUAACUGACACUGAGGGACGAAAGCUAGGGGAGCGAAUGGG
Molecule: ribosomal RNA, 253 nt
Filed under: uncultured bacterium
Lineage: Bacteria
Description: partial 16S ribosomal RNA
Rfam family: Bacterial small subunit ribosomal RNA
Source: RNAcentral